This 345-nucleotide unclassified non-coding RNA is filed under the name fungal sp. RNAcentral describes it as "partial internal transcribed spacer region". The stretch from base 1 to 46 matches the Rfam family "Eukaryotic small subunit ribosomal RNA", at positions 1786 to 1831 of the family's 1831-position model. The record is from RNAcentral. Lineage: Eukaryota; Fungi.
AAGUCGUAACAAGGUAACCGUAGGUGAACCUGCGGUUGGAUCAUUACUGAAAACUAUGAAAGUUUGCCAAUUCUAUAUUGGCAAACAAAGAAAUUCAUAACACCCCACUUGUGAACCGUUUACCGUAUUUUGUUUGGCAGCCCACCUAUUUGUACCAAAUGAAAGGGUGAGGGAAUGCAAAGGAAAAGGAAAAAGUUAAUAUUUUCUUCUUCUUCUUCUUGUGCUUCCUUAUCUGGGGCUGUCGAACGCCUAUAUAAACAAACUCGUUUUUUCUAUUUAUUUGAGUCUUUUUCUAAUUAUUUUAUAAUUAAAAAACAACUUUUGACAACGGAUCUCUUGGCUCUC